RNAcentral lists this long non-coding RNA (212 nucleotides) under Capsicum annuum. Its description in RNAcentral is "long non-coding RNA (CANN_LNC010327)". Lineage: Eukaryota; Viridiplantae; Streptophyta; Magnoliopsida; Solanales; Solanaceae. The record is from RNAcentral.
UGGUGGAGAGGUUUUGUGAGUUCUAGGCAAGUUGGAUCUUUCUCUCUCUCUUGGGAUCAGUUAUCUAUGAUGUUCUUGGAGAAUUUUAUGUUGUACAACCUUAGGGAUCAUUUGAGAGAUCAGUUUCUAGAUUGAAGUAGGGUUCUAUGAUAAUCGUUGAGUAUGAGGCUUGUUUCUAUUAGUUGGUUAGCCAUGUCACUUUUAUCUUGGAC